Molecule: ribosomal RNA, 387 nt
Filed under: Bacillus sp. (in: firmicutes)
Lineage: Bacteria; Bacillati; Bacillota; Bacilli; Caryophanales; Bacillaceae
Description: bacterial SSU rRNA
Rfam family: Bacterial small subunit ribosomal RNA
Source: RNAcentral
GGCGUAAGCGCGCGCAGGCGGUUUCUUAAGUCUGAUGUGAAAGCCCACGGCUCAACCGUGGAGGGUCAUUGGAAACUGGGGAACUUGAGUGCAGAAGAGAAAAGCGGAAUUCCACGUGUAGCGGUGAAAUGCGUAGAGAUGUGGAGGAACACCAGUGGCGAAGGCGGCUUUUUGGUCUGUAACUGACGCUGAGGCGCGAAAGCGUGGGGAGCAAACAGGAUUAGAUACCCUGGUAGUCCACGCCGUAAACGAUGAGUGCUAAGUGUUAGAGGGUUUCCGCCCUUUAGUGCUGCAGCUAACGCAUUAAGCACUCCGCCUGGGGAGUACGGUCGCAAGACUGAAACUCAGAGGAAUUGACGGGGGCCCGCUCAAGCGGUGGAGCAUGUG